AGCUCAACGGGAGAGCACCACAAGCAGAGGUCGGCGGUUCGAAUCCGUCUCUUG
RNAcentral lists this transfer RNA (54 nucleotides) under Bacteroides fragilis. RNAcentral's name for it is "tRNA-OTHER". RNAcentral also lists the same sequence under 1 other name. The record is from RNAcentral. Lineage: Bacteria; Pseudomonadati; Bacteroidota; Bacteroidia; Bacteroidales; Bacteroidaceae.